This 120-nucleotide ribosomal RNA is filed under the name Arabidopsis thaliana (thale cress). Lineage: Eukaryota; Viridiplantae; Streptophyta; Magnoliopsida; Brassicales; Brassicaceae. The record is from RNAcentral.
UGAUGCGAUCAUACCAGCACUAAUGCACUUGAUCCUAUCAGAACACCACAGUUAANGUGUGCUUGGGUGAGAGUAGUACUAGGAUGGGUGACCUCCAGGAAAGUCUUCGUGUUGCAUCCC